GCGCCGUGUUUGGAAAUUUUAAAAGUGUACCAGCGUCUGGGUUGUUCGCAUAAAUUGUAUAGAAUUUCAAGAUUUUGAUAGUGUCUCAAUUUGAAUAUAUUGACAUGAUUCAUUUGAAAUCGUGCUAUUACCGAAGAAGGAUAUCUGUUAUCCGAAAUAACUUAUAUUUUUUCAUUUUAUAGUUAUUUAAUGGUGAUGUUGUACCCUUUUUUACUUAUAUAUAUGAUAUGUAGUGAUACAAAUAAAUAUGCUCUGGUUAUCGAGCCUGCGACUUUUGUCGCAGAAAGCUCGACAUACGGAUAGUGGUCCGGCG
This 313-nucleotide long non-coding RNA is filed under the name Mytilus galloprovincialis (Mediterranean mussel). The record is from RNAcentral. Lineage: Eukaryota; Metazoa; Mollusca; Bivalvia; Mytilida; Mytilidae.